GUAGGUAUAGUUUAAUAAAAACAUUAGAUUGUGGUCCUUAAGACAGGGGUUAAAAUCCCCUUACUUACC
This 69-nucleotide transfer RNA is filed under the name Desmopuntius rhomboocellatus. Its description in RNAcentral is "tRNA-His". It matches the Rfam family "tRNA". Rfam says of the family: Transfer RNA (tRNA) molecules are approximately 80 nucleotides in length. Their secondary structure includes four short double-helical elements and three loops (D, anti-codon, and T loops). Further hydrogen bonds mediate the characteristic L-shaped molecular structure. tRNAs have two regions of fundamental functional importance: the anti-codon, which is responsible for specific mRNA codon recognition, and the 3' end, to which the tRNAs corresponding amino acid is attached (by aminoacyl-tRNA synthetases). tRNAs cope with the degeneracy of the genetic code in two manners: having more than one tRNA (with a specific anti-codon) for a particular amino acid; and 'wobble' base-pairing, i.e. permitting non-standard base-pairing at the 3rd anti-codon position. Lineage: Eukaryota; Metazoa; Chordata; Actinopteri; Cypriniformes; Cyprinidae. The record is from RNAcentral.